GGCGUGUGACUGCGUACCUUUUGUAUAAUGGGUCAGCGACUUAUAUUCUGUAGCAAGGUUAACCGAAUAGGGGAGCCGAAGGGAAACCGAGUCUUAACUGGGCGUUAAGUUGCAGGGUAUAGACCCGAAACCCGGUGAUCUAGCCAUGGGCAGGUUGAAGGUUGGGUAACACUAACUGGAGGACCGAACCGACUAAUGUUGAAAAAUUAGCGGAUGACUUGUGGCUGGGGGUGAAAGGCCAAUCAAACCGGGAGAUAGCUGGUUCUCCCCGAAAGCUAUUUAGGUAGCGCCUCGUGAAUUCAUCUCCGGGGGUAGAGCACUGUUUCGGCAAGGGGGUCAUCCCGACUUACCAACCCGAUGCAAACUGCGAAUACCGGAGAAUGUUAUCACGGGAGACACACGGCGGGUGCUAACGUCCGUCGUGAAGAGGGAAACAACCCAGACCGCCAGCUAAGGUCCCAAAGUCAUGGUUAAGUGGGAAACGAUGUGGGAAGGCCCAGACAGCCAGGAUGUUGGCUUAGAAGCAGCCAUCAUUUAAAGAAAGCGUAAUAGCUCACUGGUCGAGUCGGCCUGCGCGGAAGAUGUAACGGGGCUAAACCAUGCACCGAAGCUGCGGCAGCGACGCUGAUGCGUUGUUG
This 638-nucleotide ribosomal RNA is filed under the name Escherichia coli. RNAcentral describes it as "partial 23S ribosomal RNA". It matches the Rfam family "Bacterial large subunit ribosomal RNA", at positions 588 to 1226 of the family's 2925-position model. The record is from RNAcentral. Lineage: Bacteria; Pseudomonadati; Pseudomonadota; Gammaproteobacteria; Enterobacterales; Enterobacteriaceae.